GUGCUUGCUUAGGCAGCACAUAUACUAAAAUUAGAAUAAUACAGAGAAGAUUAGCAUGACUCAUAUACAAGGAUAAGACACAAAUUUGUAAUGUAUUCCAUAUUUUU
Phyllostomus discolor (pale spear-nosed bat) is the source of this 107-nucleotide small nuclear RNA. The record is from RefSeq and is a predicted model, not a curated record. Lineage: Eukaryota; Metazoa; Chordata; Mammalia; Chiroptera; Phyllostomidae.